AAUCAUCCCUUCGUAAAAUUUACAGACGCCAACACGAGUUAUUGAAUAACCUUUUCACAGAUGAUAACGGAUAUGUUCCUUACAUCGUAACUACAAUCUCAUUCCCUUUUAUGAUUGUGACCUACCAAAUUAGACUUUUACCGGAUUUGUUAUAACAUGAGCAACACGACGGUUGCCACAUGUGGAGCAGGAUCAGCUUACCCUCCCGGAGCACCUGAGAUCACCCCCAGUUGUUGUGAGGUUCGUGUUGCUUAUUCUUUAGUUUUCUAUGUUGUGUCAUGUGUACUAUUGUUUGUCUAUUUGUCUUUUUCAUUUUUAGCAAUGAUGUUGUUAGUUUAUUUUAGAUUUAUGAGUUUGACUGUCCCUCUGGUAUCUUUCGUCCCUCUUUGAUCACGCAUGAAUUGUGUGCAUGUUUUAUUAUUCAAAGAAAAUGUCAACAUUGAAAAUGAAUCAAAGGUAAAAAAAAUCUUUCUUAUGCAGGUAAAACUGAUGAUUAACAUAUAUUUUUGAUCUAUUAAUGAAAUUAAAUAGACAUAGAAGAGUCCAACUGCAUGAGUUACACUAUUUAUUUAUAUCUAUAUUUAUAUUCAUAUCGCUUAUAUGGGCAUCGGUGGUUUUUCGGCAAGUCUACUCUACAGUUAAUGAGAUGGCGUCUAGACUAAAAUACACAUAAAACGAAGCUACAUAUUAUCGAGCUAAUGCUGUAUAUAUUGCUUAUUUUAUAUUUUUUUUAUAAUUUUGAUAAAUGUUUUACAUAGUUAUAAAAUACAUAAAGAAAACAUAGAGGUAUCGAAAAUUGAUAGAACUUAUAUUAGUAAAUGUUUUUAUUUCAGAAAAGUGUCAGUAUAGUACAGAUUUUAUAUGUAGCCCAUUAGGAAUAUUUCAAUACUUGUAUGUAAGCUGUUUAUUUUACAGAGAUUAUACAUAUGGCUCUGGUCUGGCUAUGGCUUAAGGUCUUUAAACAGAGCUGUGUAUAUUCAUAGUUAUGCUUGAUUGUCAAAAUUAUAUGUGUCUUUCAUUUAUAAAAGAAAUGUAAUACAUGACUUUGCUCUUCAUUGGUCCUUUAAUUGGAAUAAAUAUAUCGUUAUCUUUAUACUGAUAUUAGGUAAUGGGUCAAUUAGGAACCAAUAAUCGAGACUACGAACAACUCUAUAUAAAAAGUGUCUUGUUAUGAGAUAUUUUAACAUUAAUUUACUUUAAAUAUUAAGCUGGAUUUCUCAAAGUUUUUCUUUUCUUUGAUGAAAUGAUAUUGUAUAACUGCGUAAUAUCCGUGCUUACAUAUCUAAUAAAGUCUUAUUCCAGAUUAUCAUAAGAUCAUUGCUUUAACAACGAAUCCGAUGUCGGUAAUCAAUAGGUGAUAUUUGACAUUUGGAACACGACAAGAACUACAAAAAGAUGAUAACUAAGCUGCUUUCAAAAUCAAAAUAAUUGUACAUUAAAAUUAAGGUUAUGGUAUCUACAGGCAUGUAAAAAGGUUAAAUGAAG
Molecule: long non-coding RNA, 1485 nt
Filed under: Mytilus galloprovincialis (Mediterranean mussel)
Lineage: Eukaryota; Metazoa; Mollusca; Bivalvia; Mytilida; Mytilidae
Source: RNAcentral